This 499-nucleotide long non-coding RNA is filed under the name Rattus norvegicus (Norway rat). RNAcentral's name for it is "partial HAfT24". Lineage: Eukaryota; Metazoa; Chordata; Mammalia; Rodentia; Muridae. The record is from RNAcentral.
UGGUGUGGGGGACGUAGAACUCAGGACUCCUCCUGAGGGUGGGAGCCUUUGUGGCGACUGGAGGGAUUCCAUUGUGCCACUAGAGCUGAAGAGGAAGGGGUGUCCCUCCUGUGUGCACUGGGGUCCAAGCCUGGGACCCUCUCUCUCUAUGCAUUCCCUGUCAUCAGUUUUCCAGGAAUCCUGGAGGCUCCCCCUGUCUUCCCCCACCCACCAGGAUCAAGGUUUGUGGGGAAUGUUCUCCCGCAGAACUCGGCAUGAAAUAAAUUCCAUUCUUACUCUGCCAAUGACACUGCACAUAAAUAUUCAGUAAAUUAGCAGCACACUUUUAUAGAUUUAUCAGUCAUUGCAGGCACAAAAUGACAGGCAAUGUUGUAGCUGAAAUAUUAAUGCUGACAAAUUAAUGAUUUCUGAGUAAAUGAUGUCAUUUUUGCACCGUUUCAUUAAAAUUUACUCACUUCUGCUUCAUUUCUGGACCUAAAAAAAAUUAAAAUCAUUUCUU